GUCUUGCGUGAGGGAUAGAAGCGGUAUCCUUUUUUUUCAGAGGGAAAAGGAAGGGCAAAAAAAGAUUUAGCGUACAGCCCGACCUGAA
Molecule: small RNA, 88 nt
Filed under: Kaistella jeonii
Lineage: Bacteria; Pseudomonadati; Bacteroidota; Flavobacteriia; Flavobacteriales; Weeksellaceae
Description: Chryseobacterium jeonii Flavo-1 RNA
Rfam family: Flavo-1 RNA
Source: RNAcentral